CCCGCCUGCCCUGUGACUAUAUGUUUAACGGCCGCGGUAUUUUGACCGUGCAAAGGUAGCGCAAUCACUUGUCUUUUAAAUGGAGACCUGUAUGAAUGGCAAGACGAGGGCUAAGCUGUCUCCUUUUCCAAGUCAGUGAAAUUGAUCUCCCCGUGCAGAAGCGGGGAUGUCAUCAUAAGACGAGAAGACCCUAUGGAGCUUUAGACACUAGACAGCCCACGUCUAACAACCUUUAAUAAAAGCGAGAACUUAGUGGCGCCUUGUUUAAUUGUCUUCGGUUGGGGCGACCGCGGGGGACAAACCAGCCCCCAUGUGGAGUGGGAGUAGCCUCCUGCAGCCAAGAAAGACCUUUCUAAGCAACAGAAAUUCUGACCAAAAAUGAUCCGGCAAUGCCGAUCAACGGACCCAGUUACCCUAGGGAUAACAGCGCAAUCCUCUCCCAGAGUCCCUAUCGACGAGGGGGUUUACGACCUCGAUGUUGGAUCAGGACAUCCUAACGGUGCAGCCGCUGUUAAGGG
RNAcentral lists this ribosomal RNA (518 nucleotides) under Neochanna rekohua (Chatham mudfish). RNAcentral describes it as "partial 16S ribosomal RNA". It matches the Rfam family "Bacterial large subunit ribosomal RNA", at positions 1854 to 2571 of the family's 2925-position model. Lineage: Eukaryota; Metazoa; Chordata; Actinopteri; Galaxiiformes; Galaxiidae. The record is from RNAcentral.